UACGGAAGGGGCAAGCGUUGUUCGGAAUUAUUGGGCGUAAAGGGCGCGUAGGUGGUCGGGCAUGUCCGCUGUGAAAGCACACAGCUCAACUGUGUUCCGUCGGUGGAAACUGCUCGACUCGAGGCUGGAAGGGGCUGGUGGAAUUCCCUGUGUAGCGGUGAAAUGCGUAGAGAUGGGGGAGAACACUCGUGGCGAAGGCGGCCAGCUGGACCAGUCCUGACACUGAGGCGCGACAGCGUGGGGAGCAAACAGG
RNAcentral lists this ribosomal RNA (253 nucleotides) under uncultured bacterium. RNAcentral describes it as "partial 16S ribosomal RNA". It matches the Rfam family "Bacterial small subunit ribosomal RNA", at positions 524 to 776 of the family's 1533-position model. The record is from RNAcentral.